CUCCUUUGUUUUACCCAUCGAGGAGAGCAGAUGUGUACUUUGUUAAGCUGUCUCUUUUGUUACAAUUCAGAAAGGUUAAUUUAAGAAUUGUAUAAGGAUUAAGAAGAAAUAUUAUAUUAACUACUCUACGUAUAUGGUAAAUCCUGAACAGAAUACACUCUGUAAUCGCCACAAACUGAGGCUGUUUACUAGAUGCUGUUUUUACAUAAAUAAAUACGAGUGAACUUUAUUUGAGAUGUACUGUCUGUUAUUGACGUGUCGACCGCUACCCCACACUUUAUAGCUUGGGAGGCCAACUAUAUACAGCCUGUCUCAAUAUUGAAAUUACAAAUAAUGAUAUGGUAUCUCUUAGAACAUAUAGUGGUGAGAAGUUAACCCUCUAGAUACCG
Molecule: long non-coding RNA, 389 nt
Organism: Anneissia japonica
Lineage: Eukaryota; Metazoa; Echinodermata; Crinoidea; Comatulida; Comatulidae
Exons: 3
Source: RefSeq, a predicted model, not a curated record